GGGGGUGAUCUGGCUUCGACGGGGUCAGUGAAGCCGUGGCUGCGCGCCCAGGUCCUCGGGUUCCUGGUAAAACACUCGGGAAAGAUCCAACUGCCAACAACAACCUGGCUCUCGCUGCCUAACCCUUAGGGGUUAGCGCGGCAGUGCUCACGAGGAAGCCCGCCCGGGGCGUCGCGUGAGUAUCGCAAAUCUGGGCUAGCCCGCCGGUGCGUCUGCCGGCGGCGGGCGAAACUCUAGCAGACUCGUCCGGGAGUGGGCCGCCCACUGGCCAGCGACCGGAGACCUCAAUCGGUGGGCUACGCGCGUAGACGCUGCAGUCGAUCUUUUCUCGGACAGGGGUUCGAAUCCCCUCACCUCCAC
RNAcentral lists this transfer-messenger RNA (360 nucleotides) under Roseisolibacter agri. It matches the Rfam family "transfer-messenger RNA". From Rfam's summary of the family: Bacterial tmRNA, also known as 10Sa RNA or SsrA, is named for its dual tRNA and mRNA-like properties. Its role is to liberate the mRNA from a stalled ribosome. Lineage: Bacteria; Pseudomonadati; Gemmatimonadota; Gemmatimonadia; Gemmatimonadales; Gemmatimonadaceae. The record is from RNAcentral. RNAcentral also lists the same sequence under 1 other name.